Molecule: unclassified non-coding RNA, 21 nt
Filed under: Dictyostelium discoideum
Lineage: Eukaryota; Evosea; Eumycetozoa; Dictyosteliales; Dictyosteliaceae
Source: RNAcentral
UGAACCGACGAUUAAUAGAUC